AUCUGUCUGGUUCAGUGCUAUGAUGAAUGGGUGAGCACACAGCUGUGUGACCUACCUGUUACGCCUGAUGCACAUUACCCUUCUGAUA
Hyla sarda is the source of this 88-nucleotide small nucleolar RNA. RefSeq annotates it as small nucleolar RNA U13. The record is from RefSeq and is a predicted model, not a curated record. NCBI's taxonomy places the organism in Eukaryota, Metazoa, Chordata, Amphibia, Anura, Hylidae. The transcript has a single exon.